GACGUAGGGUCCGAGCGUUGUCCGGAAUUACUGGGCGUAAAGAGCUCGUAGGUGGUUUGUCGCGUUGUUCGUGAAAACUCACAGCUCAACUGUGGGCGUGCGGGCGAUACGGGCAGACUGGAGUACUGCAGGGGAGACUGGAAUUCCAGGUGUAGCGGUGAAAUGCGUAGAUAUCUGGAGGAACACCGGUGGCGAAGGCGGCGACCUGGGUCGACACUGACGCUGAGGCGCGAAAGCGUGGGGAGCAAACAGG
RNAcentral lists this ribosomal RNA (253 nucleotides) under uncultured bacterium. Its description in RNAcentral is "partial 16S ribosomal RNA". It matches the Rfam family "Bacterial small subunit ribosomal RNA", at positions 524 to 776 of the family's 1533-position model. The record is from RNAcentral.